This 497-nucleotide ribosomal RNA is filed under the name uncultured bacterium. Its description in RNAcentral is "bacterial SSU rRNA". It matches the Rfam family "Bacterial small subunit ribosomal RNA", at positions 21 to 507 of the family's 1533-position model. The record is from RNAcentral.
GGCUCAGGAUGAACGCUAGCUACAGGCUUAACACAUGCAAGUCGAGGGGCGGCAUGAAGUCAGCUUGCUGACUUUGAUGGCGACCGGCGCACGGGUGAGUAACGCGUAUCCAACCUUCCCCUUACUCAGGAAUAGCCCGUUGAAAGACGGAUUAAUGCCUGAUGUUCUCUUUUUCCGGCAUCGGUAAUAGAGCAAAGAUUCAUCGGUGGCGGAUGGGCAUGCGGCGCAUUAGCUAGUUGGAGGGGUAACGGCCCACCAAGGCGACGAUGCGUAGGGGUUCUGAGAGGAAGGUCCCCCACACUGGUACUGAGACACGGACCAGACUCCUACGGGAGGCAGCAGUGAGGAAUAUUGGUCAAUGGACGAGAGUCUGAACCAGCCAAGUAGCGUGCAGGAUGACGGCCCUCUGGGUUGUAAACUGCUUUUAGUUGGGAAUAAAAAGAGGGACGUGUCCCUAAUUGUAUGUACCAUCAGAAAAAGGACCGGCUAAUUCCGUG